This 234-nucleotide unclassified non-coding RNA is filed under the name Hevea brasiliensis (rubber tree). The record is from RNAcentral. Lineage: Eukaryota; Viridiplantae; Streptophyta; Magnoliopsida; Malpighiales; Euphorbiaceae.
AUGAAGUCAGUGGCUACAGGAACCCUCAGUCGGUGAACGUAGACUCAGGGAAUGAAUCUGAUAGUGCAUAGAUAGUAAUAAUAUUUUCUCAAUUUUAAGGCUUAGGGAAUUAAUCCUGGCCUUCUCUGUUAAAAACUAUUAGUGUAUUUUAGAUUUUAUGUCGAUGGAUGGUAGAAUUUCUGACAUAUUUCGCUUGUUUAUUUAUAUGGAUCUGUUUCUGAUUGGUAUGAUGGC